CAUAGGGUUUUUCUGAGGAUGACAAAGCACUGAAAGUCCCUAGCACAUGUGCUCACUGUUAAUGUCAUUAAGAACUACAGGAACUGGGCUGUCAAAUAAUUAAGGUCAUAAUCUUUAUUACAUGUGUCUUGGAGUUCUUUGCCCAAUUAGACAAACCUUCUUGAAAUUAUAGGCAUUGUUUUUUUGUCUUUGUUUUUGUUUCUCCUAAAGCAGAUGACACAGUGCUGUUUAUGUUGGCCAGCACCCAAUAAGCAAAUAAUGGGAAAUUGAUUAUUGAUUAUUUCCUCAUUCCCAAGUGAAAAGGAGAAAGGUAUCUCUAUUGGAGAUGAACGCAUGUUCAAUACACGUGGCCUGCCUGAGUCAUUAGCAAAGUGUCCAACAACUCUGAGGCGUAUCCUCAAAUGAAGCCUUGUCUCUGUGAAAUUCCUGGUAAGAGAAGUUGAGGCAUCAAUAGUGGAUCAGGAGGUAUUUUUAGGGGAAGAGGAGUCUCAGUAUUCAUGGAACUCAAUGAGACCUCCACCUACACAAGGCCAAGGCUGCAUAUGGAUGUAGAGAAAUAAAACUCAGAUGUUGAAAAGUAUCUGAAGAGAUGAUAGCAAAGGGAAAUUAUCUUUUAUCUUUCAGAUAAAUCGUCAUUUUAUGGAAUGCCACAGGAAGAAGUUUUCUUUACAAGUUCUGAAGACUUGUGAUGAAUGAGUCCAUAGUUUCACCUUUGAAAAUGUCCCUGGGAGUGUCAACCCCAUCACUUUUACUUAUAUUACACUCAUAAUCAGUUCAUCUCGCCAAGAAAAAUAAUAUUAUCCUCAUGCCCAAACUUGUGACUUGAUUUGAAAACCAGUAAAUCAGAAAUAAAACUUCCCAUGUGUUUUUUUCCUACAUGAAUCCAAGUGACUCAGAUAUUGUGUUAUUCAAUAAGACUAUUACCAUGACUCAGGUAAAAGGGCCGUUUAUAUUUUCUGAAGUCUCAAGUCUAGGGUC
Molecule: long non-coding RNA, 978 nt
Filed under: Homo sapiens (human)
Lineage: Eukaryota; Metazoa; Chordata; Mammalia; Primates; Hominidae
Description: HSALNT0401913
Source: RNAcentral